Molecule: non-coding RNA, 913 nt
Filed under: Echinaster brasiliensis
Lineage: Eukaryota; Metazoa; Echinodermata; Asteroidea; Spinulosida; Echinasteridae
Description: 12S ribosomal RNA
Rfam family: Microsporidia small subunit ribosomal RNA (bases 472-906)
Source: RNAcentral
AAAAGAUUUAGUUCUAGUCUUAACUUUCCUCCCCCUUAAGACGACACAUGCAAGGGAACUUCCCACAACGGUGAGUAUUUUUAAACAAAACUACAAGAAUUAGCCAAUCAAAGCAUCAGACACCUAGGACAACCCCCACAAUCCACGACGCUUAGGAAAAACCCACACCUGCAGUGCCAAACAUUUCACAAUAUGUGAAAACAUGAUGAAGCUAUAAGAACAAAGGGCCAGUUAAUUAUGUGCCAGCAACCGCGGUUAUACAUAAAACCCAAACGAAAGAACACAGCCAAAAAGUGGUAAACACUCUAUUCUCUCAAAUAAAGGUAAAAACGAACCCUAGCAGUAAUAAGCUAUUACGGCUCCCAACCAACAAAAACAAAAACACCUUUACCCCCCGUGACCCACAAAAGCUUGAAAAAAAACCGGGAUUAGAUACCCCGUUAUUCCAGCCGUAAAAUCUUUUACACGCUAGAAAACUACGAACAACAGUUUAAAAUUCAAAGAACUUGGCGGUUUUUCAAAACUACCUGGAGGAGCUUGCUCUUUAAUCCGAUAACCCACGAAAAACCUCACCAACCCUAGCAAAACCAGCCUGUAUACCAUCGUCGUCAGCCUACCCCGCGAGAGCAAAAGUAAACACAAAGAGUAAAACUCCAUUUUUACUCUUUACGUCAGAUCGAGGUGCAGCCCAUGAGUUGGAAACAAGUGAGCUACAAUAACAACAACAACCUAAAAAAGAUAUGAAAUCAACUAUGAAAAAACAGAAAAAAAAGGAUUCAGUAGUAAUAUUUAAAAGAAAAUAAAUAUGAAAAAUUACAAGCUCUGAAAUUCGCACACAUCGCCCGUCACUCUCCUUUCAAAAGGAGAAAAGUCGUAACAAAGUAGGUGUAUUGGAAAAUGCACCUGGAACAAU